UAACACAUGCAAGUCGAGGGGCAGCAUGGUCUUAUCUUGCUAAGGCCGAUGGCGACCGGCGCACGGGUGAGUAACACGUAUCCAACCUGCCGUCUACUCUUGGACAGCCUUCUGAAAGGAAGAUUAAUACAAGAUGGCAUCAUGAGUCCGCAUGUUCACAUGAUUAAAGGUAUUCCGGUAGACGAUGGGGAUGCGUUCCAUUAGAUAGUAGGCGGGGUAACGGCCCACCUAGUCUUCGAUGGAUAGGGGUUCUGAGAGGAAGGUCCCCCACAUUGGAACUGAGACACGGUCCAAACUCCUACGGGAGGCAGCAGUGAGGAAUAUUGGUCAAUGGGCGAGAGCCUGAACCAGCCAAGUAGCGUGAAGGAUGACUGCCCUAUGGGUUGUAAACUUCUUUUAUAAAGGAAUAAAGUCGGGUAUGGAUACCCGUUUGCAUGUACUUUAUGAAUAAGGAUCGGCUAACUCCGUGCCAGCAGCCGCGGUAAUACGGAGGAUCCGAGCGUUAUCCGGAUUUAUUGGGUUUAAAGGGAGCGUAGAUGGAUGUUUAAGUCAGUUGUGAAAGUUUGCGGCUCAACCGUAAAAUUGCAGUUGAUACUGGAUAUCUUGAGUGCAGUUGAGGCAGGCGGAAUUCGUGGUGUAGCGGUGAAAUGCUUAGAUAUCACGAAGAACUCCGAUUGCGAAGGCAGCCUGCUAAGCUGCAACUGACAUUGAGGCUCGAAAGUGUGGGUAUCAAACAGGAUUAGAUACCCUGGUAGUCCACACGGUAAACGAUGAAUACUCGCUGUUUGCGAUAUACUGCAAGCGGCCAAGCGAAAGCGUUAAGUAUUCCACCUGGGGAGUACGCCGGCAACGGUGAAACUCAAAGGAAUUGACGGGGGCCCGCACAAGCGGAGGAUCAUGUGGUUUAAUUCGAUGAUACGCGAGGAACCUUACCCGGGCUUAAAUUGCAGAUGAAUUACGGUGAAAGCCGUAAGCCGCAAGGCAUCUGUGAAGGUGCUGCAUGGUUGUCGUCAGCUCGUGCCGUGAGGUGUCGGCUUAAGUGCCAUAACGAGCGCAACCCUUGUUGUCAGUUACUAACAGGUUCCGCUGAGGACUCUGACAAGACUGCCAUCGUAAGAUGUGAGGAAGGUGGGGAUGACGUCAAAUCAGCACGGCCCUUACGUCCGGGGCUACACACGUGUUACAAUGGGGGGUACAGAGGGCCGCUACCACGCGAGUGGAUGCCAAUCCCCAAAACCUCUCUCAGUUCGGACUGGAGUCUGCAACCCGACUCCACGAAGCUGGAUUCGCUAGUAAUCGCGCAUCAGCCACGGCGCGGUGAAUACGUUCCCGGGCCUUGUACACACCGCCCGUCAAGCCAUGGGAGCCGGGGGUACCUGAAGUGCGUAACCGCGAGGAGCGCCCUAGGGUAAAACUGGUGACUGGGGCUAAAU
This 1433-nucleotide ribosomal RNA is filed under the name uncultured bacterium. Its description in RNAcentral is "bacterial SSU rRNA". It matches the Rfam family "Bacterial small subunit ribosomal RNA". The record is from RNAcentral.